AGCCUUCCGCUUAACGGAAGAACGGCAUCUGAUACUACAGGGCUUGAGUACGGGAGGGGAGAGUGGAACUUCUGGUGGAGCGGUGAAAUGCGUAGAUAUCAGAAGGAACGCCGGCGGCGAAAGCGACUCUCUGGUCCGAAACUGACGCUGAGUGUGCGAAAGCUAGGGGAGCAAACGGGAUUAGAUACCCCGGUAGUCCUAGCCGUAAACGAUGGGCACUAAGUAGAGGGGU
RNAcentral lists this ribosomal RNA (232 nucleotides) under uncultured Planctomycetota bacterium. RNAcentral's name for it is "uncultured planctomycete partial 16S ribosomal RNA". It matches the Rfam family "Bacterial small subunit ribosomal RNA", at positions 599 to 829 of the family's 1533-position model. The record is from RNAcentral. Lineage: Bacteria; Pseudomonadati; Planctomycetota.